CGCUGGUCGGAAAAUCGAAGCAGGGCUUCCCGAGACCGGGGCCGUCCGACCGCGAGCUUCUGUCAGGCCAGACGCAUUUGUCUCCCGCUCGAAGGACGCCGCAGCCGGUCGGGCAGUGCAAACGUGACGGCCUGGAAGGCGGACGCCGGCAGGUGGCCGGUGGCGGGCCUCGUGCUCGUCGCCGGUUGUUAGCCAGUCCGUCGGUGGCCCGUCGCCCGACCGAGGUAUCGAGAUGCCCUCCGGGGCUCUCGCGUCUCCUCCCUCGCCGGAUGCCGGGACGGACCGUCGCGAGCGAAGGCAGCCGCGCCGCCGCACUCCGACGGAGUGGGCGAGCUGCACGUCGGCGCCGACCGCGACGGCGGGCCCGUAGGAGGUUGGAGGUUCGCGGCGAGUAGGUCGGUCACCCACCCGACCCGUCUUGAAACACGGACCAAGGAGUCUAACAUGUGCGCGAGUCAAUGGGUCUCGAACAAGCCCAGAGGCGCAAUGAAAGCGAAGGUCGGCAGCCCGUCGACCGAGUCGGGAUCCCGCGUCCCAGUGGCGCGGGCGCACCGACGACCCGUCCUAUGCGGCUCGCCGCUUGGGCGGAGUGUGAGCGUACACGUUGGGACCCGAAAGAUGG
Molecule: ribosomal RNA, 622 nt
Filed under: Cupiennius salei
Lineage: Eukaryota; Metazoa; Arthropoda; Arachnida; Araneae; Ctenidae
Description: eukaryotic LSU rRNA
Rfam family: Eukaryotic large subunit ribosomal RNA (bases 430-622)
Source: RNAcentral